UACGUAGGGUCCGAGCGUUGUCCGGAAUUACUGGGCGUAAAGAGCUCGUAGGUGGUUUGUCGCGUUGUUCGUGAAAACUCACAGCUUAACUGUGGGCGUGCGGGCGAUACGGGCAGACUUGAGUACUGCAGGGGAGACUGGAAUUCCUGGUGUAGCGGUGGAAUGCGCAGAUAUCAGGAGGAACACCGGUGGCGAAGGCGGCCCGCUGGGCAGUGGCUGACGCUGAGGCGCGACAGCGUGGGGAGCAAACAGG
This 253-nucleotide ribosomal RNA is filed under the name uncultured bacterium. RNAcentral's name for it is "partial 16S ribosomal RNA". It matches the Rfam family "Bacterial small subunit ribosomal RNA", at positions 524 to 776 of the family's 1533-position model. The record is from RNAcentral.